UUCCGUAGGUGAACCUGCGGAGGGAUCAUU
Molecule: ribosomal RNA, 30 nt
Filed under: Verticillium dahliae
Lineage: Eukaryota; Fungi; Ascomycota; Sordariomycetes; Glomerellales; Plectosphaerellaceae
Also listed under: 12 other names
Description: partial 18S ribosomal RNA
Source: RNAcentral